This 253-nucleotide ribosomal RNA is filed under the name uncultured bacterium. RNAcentral's name for it is "partial 16S ribosomal RNA". It matches the Rfam family "Bacterial small subunit ribosomal RNA", at positions 524 to 776 of the family's 1533-position model. The record is from RNAcentral.
UACGGAGGGCGCAAGCGUUGUUCGGAAUCAUUGGGCGUAAAGCGCGUGUAGGCGGCUUGGCAAGUCGGACGUGAAAGCCCGGGGCUCAACCCCGGAAUUGCGUUCGAAACUGCCUGGCUAGAGUCCCGGAGAGGAGGGCGGAAUUCCCGGUGUAGAGGUGAAAUUCGUAGAUAUCGGGAGGAACACCAGCGGCGAAGGCGGCCCUCUGGACGGUGACUGACGCUGAGACGCGAAAGCGUGGGGAGCAAACAGG